GAAUAAAAGGAUCUCCGAUAGGUGACCUGCGGAGGGAUCAUU
This 42-nucleotide ribosomal RNA is filed under the name Schizothyrium qianense. RNAcentral describes it as "partial 18S ribosomal RNA". The record is from RNAcentral. Lineage: Eukaryota; Fungi; Ascomycota; Dothideomycetes; Mycosphaerellales; Schizothyriaceae.